CAAAGUUGUUUUAGCGAUCUGGUUGCAACUAAGCUAAAAGUAGACAUUUGACACAGUUUUGGACACUAAGAUAUAAACAACUCACUGGAUUGCCAUUUGCCAGCUGACCUGUGACACAGCAGCAGUGUAUUACAUUUUCAAUGAGCAGUCUGUCUGGAGCUGCUAGUGGGAGAAACUGCUUCCUGGUUUCUAGGUUCUUUGCUCUGGGGUAGUUUAAGAUAAAUAUGGUAUCUGCCUCUACAUCAGUAUUAAGGUAAGUGCCAUUCCAGUAC
Molecule: long non-coding RNA, 272 nt
Filed under: Pan troglodytes (chimpanzee)
Lineage: Eukaryota; Metazoa; Chordata; Mammalia; Primates; Hominidae
Description: long non-coding RNA NONPTRT010803
Source: RNAcentral